This 883-nucleotide ribosomal RNA is filed under the name Chrysothrix chrysophthalma. RNAcentral describes it as "LSU rRNA". It matches the Rfam family "Eukaryotic large subunit ribosomal RNA", at positions 40 to 943 of the family's 3401-position model. The record is from RNAcentral. Lineage: Eukaryota; Fungi; Ascomycota; Arthoniomycetes; Arthoniales; Chrysotrichaceae.
AUAUCAAUAAGCGGAGGAAAAGAAACCAACAGGGAUUGCCUUAGUAACGGCGAGUGAAGCGGCAACAGCUCAAAUUUGAAAUCUGACCCUUUCGGGGUCCGAGUUGUAAUUUGUAGAGGAGAUUUCGGCGUCGGCCUCCUGCCAAGUUCCUUGGAACAGGACGUCCCAGAGGGUGAGAGCCCCGUGUCGGCUCGAGUGACCUUCGCCAUGUGAAACUCCUUCGACGAGUCGAGUUGUUUGGGAAUGCAGCUCUAAGCGGGAGGUAAAUUUCUUCUAAAGCUAAAUAUUCGGUGUCUCCGAUAGCGAACAAGUAGAGUGAUCGAAAGAUGAAAAGCACUUUGGAAAGAGAGUUAAAAAGCACGUGAAAUUGUUGAAAGGGAAGCGCUUGCCCCCAGACUUGCCCGCAGUUGCUCAGCCCCCCGUCUGGGGGGUGUACUCUUCUGCGGGCGGGCCAGCGUCAGCUCUGGCGGCCGGAUAAAGGCCCGGGGAAUGUAGCUCCCUCCGGGGGGUGUUAUAGUCCCGGGCGCAAUGCGGUCAGCCGGGGUUGAGGAUCGCGUUCUGCUAGGAUGCUGGCGUAAUGGGUGCAAGCGACCCGUCUUGAAACACGGACCAAGGAGUCGACCAUAUAUGCGAGUGUUUGGGCGUUAACCCACACGCGUAAUGAAAGUGAACGGAGGUGGGAACCCGCAAGGGUGCACCAUCGACCGAUCCUGAUGUCUUCGGAUGGAUUUGAGUAAGAGCGUAUCUGGUCGGACCCGAAAGAUGGUGAACUAUACCUAAAUAGGGUGAAGCCAGAGGAAACUCUGGUGGAGGCUCGCAGCGGUUCUGACGUGCAAAUCGAUCGUCAAAUUCGGGUAUAGGGGCGAAAGACUAAUCGAACCAU